UACAGAGGGGGCGAGCGUUGUUCGGAAUUACUGGGCGUAAAGGGCGCGUAGGCGGCCCGCUAAGUCGAACGUGAAAUCCCCGGGCUCAACCCGGGAACUGCGUCCGAUACUGGUGGGCUUGAAUCCGGGAGAGGGAUGCGGAAUUCCAGGUGUAGCGGUGAAAUGCGUAGAUAUCUGGAGGAACACCGGUGGCGAAGGCGGCAUCCUGGACCGGCAUUGACGCUGAGGCGCGAAAGCCAGGGGAGCGAACGGG
This 253-nucleotide ribosomal RNA is filed under the name uncultured bacterium. Its description in RNAcentral is "partial 16S ribosomal RNA". It matches the Rfam family "Bacterial small subunit ribosomal RNA", at positions 524 to 776 of the family's 1533-position model. The record is from RNAcentral.